AGGACCUCACAAAAUAUCUGAUGUUGGGUAUGAGAUGAAAUUAGAAGGGAGAUGGGAAGAACUCAGUGCCUGAAUACUUGGCCUCAUUUUUGACCUGCAUCUCUCCUCUGAACUGGAUGUCUGUCCAAAAGACAGAGCCAAGAAAAAGGUUCUCGUCCUAGCCUUGGCUUCUUCACGUGGCAGUCUCAGGGCAGCAAGAGAGGAUAGUUCCCAAAGGGACCUGCUGGCCAAUAUUUAGAACAUAAUGUUAUGAUCUUGGAAGGAACACAUGGAAACUUCUAGUUCAACUCUGCCAUUUCAGAAAUAACGAAGGUGAAGCCCA
Equus quagga is the source of this 322-nucleotide long non-coding RNA. RefSeq lists it as uncharacterized. NCBI's taxonomy places the organism in Eukaryota, Metazoa, Chordata, Mammalia, Perissodactyla, Equidae. The record is from RefSeq and is a predicted model, not a curated record. The transcript is spliced from 3 exons.